UCCCUGGUGGCUCAGAGGUUAAAGCGUCUGCCUGCAAUGCGGGAGACCCGGGUUCGAUCCCUGGGUCGGGAA
This 72-nucleotide transfer RNA is filed under the name Odocoileus virginianus texanus. It matches the Rfam family "tRNA". Rfam says of the family: Transfer RNA (tRNA) molecules are approximately 80 nucleotides in length. Lineage: Eukaryota; Metazoa; Chordata; Mammalia; Artiodactyla; Cervidae. The record is from Rfam by way of RNAcentral. RNAcentral also lists the same sequence under 8 other names.